RNAcentral lists this transfer RNA (72 nucleotides) under uncultured phage cr13_1. RNAcentral's name for it is "tRNA-Gln". It matches the Rfam family "tRNA". Rfam says of the family: Transfer RNA (tRNA) molecules are approximately 80 nucleotides in length. Their secondary structure includes four short double-helical elements and three loops (D, anti-codon, and T loops). The record is from RNAcentral. Lineage: Duplodnaviria; Heunggongvirae; Uroviricota; Caudoviricetes; Crassvirales; Crevaviridae.
UGAAGUGUAGUGUAAUGGUAACACAGCAGACUUUGGUUCUGUAAUUAUGGGUUCGACUCCCGUCACUUCAAC